Molecule: ribosomal RNA, 1433 nt
Filed under: Staphylococcus aureus M1533
Lineage: Bacteria; Bacillati; Bacillota; Bacilli; Caryophanales; Staphylococcaceae
Also listed under: 6 other names
Description: bacterial LSU rRNA
Rfam family: Bacterial large subunit ribosomal RNA
Source: RNAcentral
AGCGUGCGAUUGGAUUGCACGUCUAAGCAGUAAGGCUGAGUAUUAGGCAAAUCCGGUACUCGUUAAGGCUGAGCUGUGAUGGGGAGAAGACAUUGUGUCUUCGAGUCGUUGAUUUCACACUGCCGAGAAAAGCCUCUAGAUAGAAAAUAGGUGCCCGUACCGCAAACCGACACAGGUAGUCAAGAUGAGAAUUCUAAGGUGAGCGAGCGAACUCUCGUUAAGGAACUCGGCAAAAUGACCCCGUAACUUCGGGAGAAGGGGUGCUCUUUAGGGUUAACGCCCAGAAGAGCCGCAGUGAAUAGGCCCAAGCGACUGUUUAUCAAAAACACAGGUCUCUGCUAAACCGUAAGGUGAUGUAUAGGGGCUGACGCCUGCCCGGUGCUGGAAGGUUAAGAGGAGUGGUUAGCUUCUGCGAAGCUACGAAUCGAAGCCCCAGUAAACGGCGGCCGUAACUAUAACGGUCCUAAGGUAGCGAAAUUCCUUGUCGGGUAAGUUCCGACCCGCACGAAAGGCGUAACGAUUUGGGCACUGUCUCAACGAGAGACUCGGUGAAAUCAUAGUACCUGUGAAGAUGCAGGUUACCCGCGACAGGACGGAAAGACCCCGUGGAGCUUUACUGUAGCCUGAUAUUGAAAUUCGGCACAGCUUGUACAGGAUAGGUAGGAGCCUUUGAAACGUGAGCGCUAGCUUACGUGGAGGCGCUGGUGGGAUACUACCCUAGCUGUGUUGGCUUUCUAACCCGCACCACUUAUCGUGGUGGGAGACAGUGUCAGGCGGGCAGUUUGACUGGGGCGGUCGCCUCCUAAAAGGUAACGGAGGCGCUCAAAGGUUCCCUCAGAAUGGUUGGAAAUCAUUCAUAGAGUGUAAAGGCAUAAGGGAGCUUGACUGCGAGACCUACAAGUCGAGCAGGGUCGAAAGACGGACUUAGUGAUCCGGUGGUUCCGCAUGGAAGGGCCAUCGCUCAACGGAUAAAAGCUACCCCGGGGAUAACAGGCUUAUCUCCCCCAAGAGUUCACAUCGACGGGGAGGUUUGGCACCUCGAUGUCGGCUCAUCGCAUCCUGGGGCUGUAGUCGGUCCCAAGGGUUGGGCUGUUCGCCCAUUAAAGCGGUACGCGAGCUGGGUUCAGAACGUCGUGAGACAGUUCGGUCCCUAUCCGUCGUGGGCGUAGGAAAUUUGAGAGGAGCUGUCCUUAGUACGAGAGGACCGGGAUGGACAUACCUCUGGUGUACCAGUUGUCGUGCCAACGGCAUAGCUGGGUAGCUAUGUGUGGACGGGAUAAGUGCUGAAAGCAUCUAAGCAUGAAGCCCCCCUCAAGAUGAGAUUUCCCAACUUCGGUUAUAAGAUCCCUCAAAGAUGAUGAGGUUAAUAGGUUCGAGGUGGAAGCAUGGUGACAUGUGGAGCUGACGAAUACUAAUCGAUCGAAGACUUAAUC